UGCUGGGAGGGCCAGGAAGGGCGCUCGCCCUGAGGGUCCAUCUCAGCCCAGGCGGUGGUGGCUCCUCCUUACAGCUUCUGUCCUCUGCCCUUCUCUCCUCAGUAGCCACAUCCUUCAGGACUCCCAACCCUGUUAUGGACGCUUCUUCAGAUUGAACUUUCUGUGCUCAAAUUAUUGUGUGGUUUCUGCCUCCUGUUUUGACUCUGACGGAUGCAGUAGAGAGCGGUUGGGGACGGAGGUGCAGAUUUCCUGGCAACAGUUUGGGGAACUCUCCAUGAUUUGCCACAUCUCUAACAGACUCCAGUGGUGAUGGGCGUUUGGAGACUCAAGUGGUAGCAGAAGGGAGACCACAUGACUUCUGCACUGUGUCUUGAGUGAGCAAUGUCUGGAAAGGUGCAUCCUGGACCUGGAAUCGUUAAGCCACCUCUGAGCAGUCGGCGUGUAUCAGAACUUCCUCACUGGGCCGGCGGCAGAGGGGCAGAAGGAAGUACAACGCGAGGGGUGUCCUGUCUACAUGUUGAUGACAGCCAUCGGUGGACAUGCAUUUCUUCUUGGCUGUGCUGUG
RNAcentral lists this long non-coding RNA (565 nucleotides) under Oryctolagus cuniculus (rabbit). RNAcentral describes it as "lncRNA (ENSOCUG00000038412.1)". Lineage: Eukaryota; Metazoa; Chordata; Mammalia; Lagomorpha; Leporidae. The record is from RNAcentral.